AUCACCGCUCCGUAUUUUAAACUGCUAACUACACACCUAUACUUCAGGAACUAUUACUACUAUGUGGAUGUAAGCAAAGUGUUCUCAUUCCCUCUUGGAUGUGUGCAGCCAGUGAGGUACGUUUUGUUUAAGGGCUUGUUAUAUCUGCUCGACGGCACGGACAGCUAACUGGGAUAGCGAGUGGAGCUAGCGGCUGCCGGAUGGAGCAGCCAGUCAGCCAGCUUGCUAACUACACACCGGUGCUUACGUCCACAUGUACUCAACGAAGUGGAAACGCCUUUGACGAUGGCCCGUGCAAAGUCAUGCCACCAGUCUGAGGACAUCACUGGGAAUGGCACAUGGGACACGUGGCUUUCAACUCCAGCGAGACCCAAGUCGACUGGACCACAGCGGAAAAUGAUCCUUCCAGAGAAGAAGUUAUUUACUUCUACAACGAAUGGAAGAGUUACAACUUCCAGAUGACAGCUCUCCGCUCAUCCUUCUGGGCAACUUGAACAUCCGACAGAACUUAUGUGACCUACUGCGUUUAUUUUCUCCUUUAGCUCUCAUUUAAGUAUUAAAAUUCGCUGUAUUUUUGCAAGAGAGGCACCAAUCCUAUUUGAGUGACGUUUCGAAUGUGAAAUUGUAUUGGACCAUAUAGGUCAUCUGCAGAGCGUUGGCCCCUGGCGCAGUAAACCAGGGUUUGAUUCUUGGCAUGCACAAGACUCCUCAUGUGACUUAAAAUGAAUCCAGAAUGCAAUAUUUGUUCAGUAUGCAAGGGCAGUGAUUUAUUUAGUCAUGUUUGGUCAUGUUUUGGUUUUUUUACAUGACAAUAUGGUUUGGUACAUGCUGAGUUAAUGAAUAUACAUUCUAAAGUGCAAUGUCCAUAUGUGAAUAAGAGUUGUAUACGUUUAUCAUAGUCAACAUGGUGUGGAAAUAUCCCUUAUGUAGUUGGUCAAUAGGAACUAUAGUAGGCAGUAAUAACAGCUAAGGUAAUUACAGGUGGAUAUUUCUGGGAAUUAACCUUGAUUGAGACUGCAUCUAUGAUAUCUAAGAUAUACAGGACAAGAAUAAUGCACUGGAUGUGUAUAUGUGUUGAAUCAAUUAUACAGACGCAAACUGGAGAACGAGACAAGUGUUGCUGUGAUACUUAUUGUGGUCAUCGUGCCCGAGACCCGUAACAAUUACUCCGCAGGUCUUUUGCAGCGGGGCAACAGCCCGGCGUCGGUGGAUUCCGUUCGCGAGGCCGCAGAUUCAGGUUUGAAUGGCAGCCCCGAGAGUGAUUCGUUUAGUCUCUUUGGUCUUUUUUGACCCGCGAGCCCGGCCGACCGCCGCCCCACCCCGACGCGCGAGAAUCGGCGAAGGCCCGUUCAUCGCUGCUUGCAGCUUUAAUAAUAAU
This is a long non-coding RNA of Pungitius pungitius (ninespine stickleback), 1378 nucleotides long. RefSeq lists it as uncharacterized. NCBI's taxonomy places the organism in Eukaryota, Metazoa, Chordata, Actinopteri, Perciformes, Gasterosteidae. The record is from RefSeq and is a predicted model, not a curated record. The transcript is spliced from 3 exons.